RNAcentral lists this ribosomal RNA (303 nucleotides) under uncultured bacterium. RNAcentral's name for it is "bacterial SSU rRNA". It matches the Rfam family "Bacterial small subunit ribosomal RNA", at positions 355 to 675 of the family's 1533-position model. The record is from RNAcentral.
UGGGGAAUAUUGCACAAUGGGGGAAACCCUGAUGCAGCGACGCCGCGUGAGUGAAGAAGUAAUUCGUUACGUAAAGCUCUAUCAGCAGGGAAGAAAAUGACGGUACCUGAGUAAGAAGCCCCGGCUAACUACGUGCCAGCAGCCGCGGUAAUACGUAGGGGGCAAGCGUUAUCCGGAUUUACUGGGUGUAAAGGGAGCGUAGACGGUACGCCAAGUCUGAAGUGAAAUGCCGCAGCUUAACUGCGGAACUGCUUUGGAAACUGGCGGGCUGGAGUGCGGGAGGGGUAAGCGGAAUUCCUAGUG